Molecule: long non-coding RNA, 885 nt
Organism: Homo sapiens (human)
Lineage: Eukaryota; Metazoa; Chordata; Mammalia; Primates; Hominidae
Gene: KCNQ5-AS1
Product: KCNQ5 antisense RNA 1
Source: Ensembl
GGGGGAAGCCAGCUGCAUGUCAUAUGGACAUUCAGGCAACCUAGGGUGUGAAUAAUGUGGCAAGGAAAUAAAAGGCCUGCUAGCAAAUGCUCAGUUGAGCUUGGUAAUGGGUCCUCUCCCAGCAUCUCCAGCCAAGAGCUUGACUGCAACCUCAUAUGAGAUUUUGAGCCAUAACCAUUCAGCUAAACUGCUUCUGGAUACCUGACCAUAGAAACUGUGAGAUUAUAAGAGAAGCAGAUCUUAGGGGGACAAGAGUACAUAUGAAACACAGCAGAGGAGUAGGAUAUGUCUUUGAAUGAAGAUGCCUGAGGGACUGAAUAAAGAACCUGGACAACUAAAGAAAAAAGACACCUAUGGAUCAGAAUUGAGACAAUUUCUUCAGCUACUUAAUUUUUUUUCUUGUAAAAAAAGAACUUCCAGUUUCCCAAGACGCAACAUUGAAUUCAAUCAGAGGUAAAGAUUCUGGACUAUUGGAUUAAAUGAGGAGGCAGGAGCUACUAUCUCUUGCAGUGUGAAACCAGGGCCGGGGAUGAAGAUAUGGACACAUCUCAGCUUUCCAGGGAUGCUGUGAUGUGGUGAAAUUAUGCCAUUCAUUAGAAGGUGAUACUGUCAUCAAUGUGAGAGGCCCAGGACUCUGCAGGGCCUGAAGAAAUCCUGGGCAAUGAGUCUGAGGGAAGUCUCUCAGAGCAGCUACUCUGAGAGAGUAAAGCCGCAGCCUUUGUGGGGUAUGAAAGCAGCGUUCUCAUGGAUAAGGCUUAUUUGAGACGAAGUGGAGGCCUUGUUUUGUCCACUUACCGCAAUGUCCACUGUCCCCAACUGCAGCAUGCCAACAGCAAAUGUGUUUAGUGGAUAUGUGCUUUGUAGCUAACAAGAAACAGUAACAUU